This 300-nucleotide ribosomal RNA is filed under the name uncultured Vagococcus sp. Its description in RNAcentral is "bacterial SSU rRNA". The stretch from base 56 to 300 matches the Rfam family "Bacterial small subunit ribosomal RNA", at positions 552 to 795 of the family's 1533-position model. The record is from RNAcentral. Lineage: Bacteria; Bacillati; Bacillota; Bacilli; Lactobacillales; Enterococcaceae.
CGAUGUGGGGUGGUGGGGCCGGGGGGAUACGGGGGGUGGGUGGGUUGUCCUGCGGCAUUGGGGGUUACGGGCUCGUAGGCGGCUUGGCAUGUGGCGGGUGAAAGCUCCGGGGUCAGCGCGUAGGGGCCACGUGAGAUGGCGAUGGCUAGAGGCCGGUGGUGGACCAUGGAAUUCCUGGUGUAGCGGUGAAAUUCGCAGAUAUCAGGCGGAACACCGGUGGCGAAGGCGGUGGUCUGGGCCGGCACUGACGCUGAGGAGCGAAAGCGUGGGGAGCGAACAGGAUUAGAUACCCGAGUAGUC